CUACGGGAGGCAGCAGUGAGGAAUAUUGGACAAUGGGGCAACCCUGAUCCAGCCAUGCCGCGUGAGUGAAGAAGGCCUUCGGGUUGUAAAGCUCUUUCGGCCGGGAAGAAAUUGCGCGCUCUAACAUAGCGUGUAGAUGACGGUACCGGAGCAAGAGGCACCGGCUAACUACGUGCCAGCAGCCGCGGUAAUACGUAGGGUGCGAGCGUUAAUCGGAAUUACUGGGCGUAAAGCGUGCGCAGGCGGUUUUGUAAGACAGGUGUGAAAUCCCCGGGCUCAACCUGGGAAUGGCGCUUGUGACUGCAAGACUUGAGUACGGCAGAGGGGGGUGGAAUUCCACGUGUAGCAGUGAAAUGCGUAGAGAUGUGGAGGAACACCGAUGGCGAAGGCAGCCCCCUGGGCCGAUACUGACGCUCAGGCACGAAAGCGUGGGGAGCAAACAGGAUUAGAUACCCCAGUAGUCC
RNAcentral lists this ribosomal RNA (464 nucleotides) under uncultured bacterium. RNAcentral describes it as "bacterial SSU rRNA". It matches the Rfam family "Bacterial small subunit ribosomal RNA", at positions 339 to 796 of the family's 1533-position model. The record is from RNAcentral.